Molecule: ribosomal RNA, 300 nt
Filed under: uncultured bacterium
Lineage: Bacteria
Description: partial 16S ribosomal RNA
Rfam family: Bacterial small subunit ribosomal RNA
Source: RNAcentral
GGAUUAGAUACCCUGGUAGUCCUAGCUGUAAACGAUGAGCACUUGGUUGAGGGCCCCCCCAUAGGUUCUCGGCCGUAGCGAAAGUGUUAAGUGCUCCGCCUGGGGAGUAUGGUCGCAAGGCCGAAACUCAAAGGAAUUGACGGGGGCUCACACAAGCGGUGGAGCAUGUGGUUUAAUUCGAAGCAACGCGCAAAACCUUACCUGGGUUUGACAUGCACGGAUUAGCUGCUGGAAACAGUAGUGACGCUCGCAAGAGUGGAACGUGCACAGGUGCUGCAUGGCUGUCGUCAGCUCGUGCUG